This 22899-nucleotide long non-coding RNA is filed under the name Triticum aestivum (bread wheat). Its description in RNAcentral is "long non-coding RNA (TAES_LNC022320)". The record is from RNAcentral. Lineage: Eukaryota; Viridiplantae; Streptophyta; Magnoliopsida; Poales; Poaceae.
GACCCCGUGACGAUGCUGAUGCCCCUGUGGUCGACUACAUCACCGACGACCCCUCUCUCUUGCCAGAGCAACCAGGCAAGCCCCCCCCCCUUUGAUCACCAGAUAUCGCCUACUCUUCUCUAUACUGCUUGCAUUAGAGUAGUGUAGCAUGUUACUGCUUUCCGUUAAUCCUAUUCUGAUGCAUAGCCUGUCAUUGCUGCUACAGUCAUUGAUACCUUACCCGCAAUCCUAAAUGCUUAGUAUAGGAUGCUAGUGUUCCAUCAGUGGCCCUACACUCUUGUCCGUCUGCCAUGCUAUACUACUGGACUGUGAUCACUUCGGGAGGUGAUCACGGGCAUAUACUAUAUACUUUACACUGUUACAUUACCUGUGAUACUGUUUGGAGUUGGGGGCUGAAAGGACAGGUGGCUCCAUCCCGGUAGAGGUGGGCCUGGGUUCCCGACGGUCCCCGACGGUUACUUUGUGGCAGAGCGACAGGGCAGGUUGAGACCACCUAGGAGACAGGUGGGCCUGGCCCUGUUCGGCGUUCGCGGAUACUUAACACGCUUAACGAGAUCUUGGUAUUUGAUCUGAGUUGGCUACGAGCCUAUACGCACUAACCAUCUAUGCGGGAGUAGUUAUGGGUAUCCCGACGUCGUGGUAUCAGCCGAAGCACUUCAGACGUCAGCGACGGAGCGGCGCGCGCCGGAUUGGAAUGUAAGCCUGCUCUUGUAUUAAGGGGGCUAGUUCUGCUUCCGGCCGCCCACGCAACGUGCAGGUGUGCUAUGGGCGAUGGGCCCAGACCCCUGUGCGCUUAGGUUUAGACCGGCGUGCUGGCCUCUCUGUUUUACCUAGGUGGGGCUGCGACGUGUUGAUCUUCCGCGGCCGGGCAUGACCCAGGAAAGUGUGUCUGGCCAAAUGGGAUCAAGCGUGUUGGGUUAUGUGGUGCACCCCUGCAGGGAAGUUAAUCUAUUCGAAUAGCCGUGAUCUUCGGUAACAGGACGACUUGGAGUUGUACCUUGACCUUAUGACAACUAGAAUCGGAUACUUAAUAAAACACACCCUUCCAAGUGCCAGAUACAACCGGUGGUCGCUCUCCCUCAGGGAUAUGAGGAGGGGAUCGCCGGGUAGGAUUAUGCUAUGUGAUGCUAUUUGGAGAUGCUACUUGGAGAUGCUACUUGGAGGACUUCAAUCUACUCUCUUCAACUUGAUGCAAGACGGAGGCUGCCAGAAGCGUAGUCUUCGACAGGAUUAGCUAUCCCCCUCUUAUUCUGGCAUUCUGCAGUCCAGUCCACUGAUAUGGCCUCCUUACACAUAUACCCAUGCAUAUGUAGUGUAGUUCCUUGCUUGCGAGUACUUUGGAUGAGUACUCACGGUUGCUUUCUUCCCCCCCUUUUCCCCUUUUCCUUUCUUUCUGGUUGUCGCAACCAGAUGCUGGAGUCCAGGAGCCAGACGCCACCGUCGACGACGACCCCUACUACACCGGAGGUGCCCCUACUACGUGCAGCCCGCUGACGACGUCCAGGAGUAGUUAGGAGGAUCCCAGGCAGGAGGCCUGCGCCUCUUUCGAUCUGUAUCCCAGUUUGUGCUAGCCUUCUUAAGGCAAACUUGUUUAACUUAUGUCUGUACUUAGAUAUUGUUGCUUCCGCUGACUCGUCUAUGAUCGAGCACUUGUAUUCGAGCCCUCGAGGCCCCUGGCUUGUAUUAUGAUGCUUGUAUGACUUAUUUAUGUUUUAGAGUUGUGUUGUGAUAUCUUCCCAUGAGUCCCUGAUCUUGAUCGUACACGUUUGCGUGCAUGAUUAGUGUACGAUUGGAUCGGGGGCGUCACAAUUUGUCACCCAUGGCUCCUGAUUAGAGAGAUGGACAUGCUUGGUUGGAGUCGUCGUCGUCCUGGUUGGGGAGAUGAGCAUGCUUAUAUUACAAAGAUUAGAGUGUAGUCCUUCUAUGCCUUCUAAUUAGAUAGUGUGGCUUGAUUUUAGAGAUGCUUACAAUCUCUUGUCACAGAAUUUUAUAACCGCGUUCUCAUGGAAAACAACCCUCUCCCCAAGCUGCACUGCUCUUCACCGCUCCACACCGUCGUGCUCUGCACUGUUCAAACUAUUUCGUGUAGAGCCAAUUUUUGUUCUUUUUCCAAUAAAUGGUUCUUUCUAUUCUUUUUCUAAAUCUUGAUUGAAUCGAGAUAUCUUCUCUUGGAAAAUCAUAUUUUCUUCACUUCUUGGGACAGUGUUACUCAAAUUUUUUUGGAGCAUGUUUUUUGUUUCUACAUUGACUUUGAUUAAUUGUUUCUCUUGACUUCCUAUGUGAUUGAGAUGCGUGCCUAUCUUGACUGUUCUGUUGUGUUUGUAAUUUCUUCCCACUAGGACAUUAUAACUCUUAUUAGAUAAUCUGCAACAUGCUCCUAUGGUAAGGGUGUCCUAAAUUGGCGAUUCAUAUCGUUGGUGGAAACCCACCUAUCUAUUUCUUAGAAAAAACUAGCCAGCAUGGGGAGAAGGUACACAUCCAUGUACAGUAGGGAUACCUAAUCCUAAAAAGUAGAAAGAAACAUGGCCAGAAUAAGAACUGCGCACUGUUCUUAACAGGAUAUAGUAUUUGCAUGCUAUUGAGAGUUCAUGUGGUUAUUAGGAAAAAGACUUAUAGAGUUAUCGAUUUAAUCAAAUUAAAAAUGCUUGCUUCCUCUGGUUAUUAGACUAUGCUUUCAGGACAUAGUAGUUUGUUAUUUGGUUUUGGAUGAUGCUUGUGAGUGCAGUUCCUGAAUCUCAACACUCUUUUUAAUUGACAUCGCCUAUCAUGCAAAAGAAAAACUCAUUUGUUCUACACAUCCUUUUUGUCCGCUUUAUUGGUUUAGAUAUUUUAAAGUAAGCUUGAUUUUCAUUUGGUAUUAUUUUGAUGUCACAAUUGUUGUUCCAGCCACUCUUGGCUGCAGCCCUCGGCCGAGCUCAUGCAUCAUUAUUUGUGUAUUGUUCGCAGGCUUCGGAAGAUGCCAGUAUAACAGUUGACAAGGGAACUAAUGCUUGCACUGUCAUUAAAAUUGCUAGAGCUGCUGCGCAAAAAGUUAGGAAGGUACUUAAAGAGAAGGAAGACAAUUCACAAAGAAUUGGGAAACAGGUAAAUGAUAUGUAUAUGCACGUCAUAUUGUCUUAUUUACUCUGUUUUAGCAUCGUUCUUACCUGAAACUUGCGCCUGAACCAACAUUACUUUCAGAUGUGCCAUAGAUAAUCCAUCCCCAUCUACUUUUGUACAAUUUUCUGCGCACAACUAGUGAUAGUUUUGUUUAUUUGUCCAUGUAAUUAUGCGGACUACAUCAUACAGAACUAGCCAACAUUGUUCAUUGUAGCAUCAUACAUCUACUUUCUACCCUGUUGUAAAUGGCUUUCGUAAAUUAGAGAAGAACUAACUAAUGUGUUGCCAAUCCUGAGAUAUCAAACAUAUUGUUGCUAGCAGACCUCAAAGAAAAACCAUGUGCCAUGUCGAGUCCCAUUACAAAGAGAAGAGUAUGUAUACAUAGAGAAGAAAGUGAUAAUAGAACUUGUCAGUCGAUCCGUGGAACAUGGAUGGGUAAUUGUAAUAGCGAAUUGUUCUAGUUUACUCCAUCCUUGAUCUGGCAGCAAAACAGGGACCUGUUGUACUCCUUAUAAACUACUUUAGUUUUAUAAUCAUCUUUUAUUUCUCUCUUCAGUUUUGUCAGCAAACACAUCGAGGCAUCUGAACAAAUUGUCACAACUACAUGAAGACAGGGACCUGCAAAUUUGGAUCCACAGGUAAAUACGAUCAUCAUCUAUACCUGACUACACCUAGGUCCAACUAUAUGCUGAAGCCCCUAGGUCUUCCAAUUUGUCCUGUGAGUAGCUCUUAUGCAUCAGUCUGAUUUCUUACAUUAAAGUAAUAUGUUAUCAUCAAAUGAAAGUUAAUCCAAAAGCAUACAACUGAAUCAUCAUUUCCAUGUUGUCCUUGAUAAGAUUGGCAUCACAUCUUAUUGUUCUAAUAUUGUGAAGUUGAUAAGUGAAGUUUCGUUUACUUAUGUAGUUUGGUCUAAUUGCAAACUGCAAAGUUAGGGAAGCGUAGUGAUCAUUCAGUUUUCCAAUUAUUACAAGUUUUGAGUGUUAGGAUAGGACUUUUUUUGCGGGAUGUGUUACGGUAGGACUUGAAAGUAGUGCAGCUCGCUGGUAUUCUGUCAUAGAGGGAUUGUUGGUAAUGUUGUAGUUUUAUGUUUAUAAUUUACUUCAAAUGAAUUGUUUCACAUAGUAUGUCUGUAGGAGCAAAGUAACCUCAGUGUUUAAAUGCACAUAGCUAAGAAAGAUUUGAUCUUGGAUCCAUGAGUUAUUUGGCAGGACGGCUUUGUACUAUUUCAGUUCCAUGAGUAUUAAUUUAUCAGGCCUGAUUUCCCAAGUUUUAAUUUUAGCUUUGUAGUCAGACUCUGAAGCUUGCUUGUUACCUUUUUGAUAGUACCUUCAUUAGAACCAAAGAUGUUUUAGUUAAGUGAUAUUCGUGAGUCCUUGCUCAUAUGUAUUCAUGUUUUAUUAUCAAUCUCUAAACUACUCUUACUAGAAUGGUUUGAGUGCCUGAUUUGUUCUCGCUUGUUGCUUCAGGGGCGCAACGGGUCAUAAUCUGUCGCAGAUAAGAUAUGUUGCAGAUCACCUUAACGAUGCAACUUGACAAUUAGAGCACAUUCUACAGGAAACAAGCAGGUAUUAUAUGGGGUCAUUUAUGCUUUUGGUAGCCCACUAGACACACCCACCAUGAAGAGCUUCUUUGACAAUAAAGUCGUUUUUUAUACCGAUGGCGCAGUGAGACUCUACCUGAUAUUCUUCACUACUCACCACGAGCUAAAUGAUCGAAGCUAUCAAUAUAUAUAAUGCAUUUCUACGUAUGUAGCAUGCUUGAUACAUGCAAUGUAAAUAAGCUAUCGUAAACUAAUCGCAUGUCUUUCUUAUAACGCUGUGUAUCAACUUCAUACAUAAAUAUCUAUUUCCAUAUUGUAACAUCCCGAUUCUCGGAAUGUUUAAGUAAAAGUUUUCCAAAAAUCAGGGUGAGAAAAUUUCACUUGUUUAAUUUGUUAACAAAGCUUAAAUUGGACUUCUAUAAUUUGAAGGAUUUAAUUUGAACUAACGUGAACCUAAAUUAAAAUUUGAGUUUAGUUCUUUUCUUUUAGUCGGGCUUUAUUUUCUCUUCUUUGGCAUAUUUAAAUAUGUGCCUUGAAUUUUCUUUGGGUUACUGAAAUUCGUUUGAUUGCUCGAGCUUAUUUUCCUUCUCUAGAUUUCCUAAAACGGAAAUCAAUUUCUUUUCCUUUUCUCAAUCUCGGGCCAAAUUCCAUUGGACCAUUAGAUACAUUCUACCAUUUGAAUUGUCCACCUAUCUUACUCAUACUUUCCAUCCAUGCAUACAUUGUUUCUGAGACAAAUCCACCAAUACAUGCAUCUGUACAUCUCUCUUCUCUUCCCUGGAUUCAUCCAAUUGUUUUUGUUUUCUUUCUCAAGUCACAUGGGCUUAGCCCAUCUAUUUUUUUUCCUCCCCUCCUCUCCACAUGGGCUUCCAUCCACUUGGCCCAUCCAAUGAAUGCCUCUCCUUACGUUCACAAUUCCAGAAGGGGAACAACCAACACACACAUACCAGAAGAGAAAACGCACACAGAAUAGGAAGCGUACAGGCAUGAUGGAGACUCCUCUUUCUGUUUAAUUGCUACCUUUACAAAUAUGAAGAUACUUGCCCAUCUUUCAACGUCAACCCCAAGCGCUUCUCCUUCCUCCACCCUCGCGUAAGCGCACACAGUACAGAGAAGAAGAAACGUUCAGCCACUCUCAUGCCCUCCCCUCAACUCCCAUAAAUCUCAAUCAUUUUCAGUUUUGAAGAUACCUAGACGUCCACCACGAUCUCCUUUGUCAUUCCCAACAGUCCUCAUGCCCUCUCUCUUCCUCCUCUGCCAAAGAACCCUCACCACACUUUUGAAGCUCCAUGGACGCAAGGUUUCGAUCCCGGUGACUCAUACCAUCUCCAUCCAUGCCCUUGCGCCAGAAGGUUCCCCUGCACAUUAUGGUUCCAUUCAGGAAAGAAGGAACAUGUCCCGUCGAUCACACCCGAAGAAUUUAGCAUGUUCGUCUACACUGUUCAUCGAGUUCGUCGGAUCGAUUCGUCGCGCUCGGUGAGCUUCUAUCCAAUUCCUUUUGUGCACUUUCAAAAUAUCACUCAAGUUAUCUCCUAGACAUCAUGGUUCCUCCUAUGUUUAUCGUUGGUCGCGUUGAUGCUAUCCGUCGCAUAAACCAUAGGCCAUGGUCAUAUUUCCAUCGCUUUUGUUCAUCGUUUGAUCUUGACCACAAUAGAAGAAAUGUUUUAUAUGGUUGUAGCAAUCCCGUAGUGGAGUUAGAUUACUUGUUUGGUUAAUCGAGUUUUAUUAUAGAUUUUUGGUUGUUGAUCGGACUAUUUAUUAAUAUGUAUUUUCUUGUGUUCUUGAUAUGGGUAGGAGUGUGUGCUAGCUAUCUCAUAAUUUGUGUCAUAUGGUUUACUAGAUUUAGUUUACUCUUGUUUAAAUUGCUAAAAUAGUUGUGCAUCAUUCGGCUCGAUAAUUUUUGGUAGCACGUAUUUCCCUUUUAUGCAUGCGUAUUUAUGAAUUAUAGUCAUGUGUAGCAUUUUGUGUUUUUAAUAUAGAUUGAUUUUGAGUUACUAAAUAUCAUAUAAUUUUGUAGUCCUGUGUUAUGCGAGUGUACAAGUGUUUGUGAAUGUUUACCAUGUGUAGAAGUUGAUUGGUGUAUUUGAUUAUCAUUGUUCGUACGUGUUUGGCGGGUGUUAUUAUUUUAAUUAGAUUUAGAUCAUUAUUGAUGAAAUCUUUUAUUUAUUAUUUUAAAAAUAUUUGGUACUAUUUGUUGUUCUAUAUUAAAAAUGUGUAUAGAUUUCUAGUGAUAUUCUCCAUGCGUAGAGCCUUGUAGAAUUAUUGUUUUACUUGAUUUCUUUAAUUAUGAAAUACUUGAUGUAUUGAUUAUUUAAUUUUGAUUAGCAUGGUGAUAUCUUAGAUAUGGUUUAAAUAUUCAUUUCCAUCCAUGUCGCAUGUUUGUUCUAUUGGUUCGAAAUCAUUGUCUUGUCUAUGAUCGAUGUUCACAUUUUUUUCAUACAUGUUGCAUAGUUCUUUUAUGCUAGAAGUCAAAUGAUAUGCUUUCUUAUUUGAGAACAAACCCAUUGUGGUUCUUGUCGCAUAAUAUACUAUUGCCUAGAUGAUCCUCUUGUUUUGUAGAUGUUUGUUAUCCAUUAUUUUAUGAGGUUGGUUGCUUCAUGUCAUGAUUCAGAAUUGUAUUGUUAUUGCUUGUAUCAUAGAAUUUAAUUUAUACUUCUUGUUAUCCUAGAUGUUUUGUUUACCUAGGAUGGUAGUUGCACAUGCUUAGUUGCUAGACAUGCCAUGUUACUACUUACUCAAAGUAUAAUGCAUAUUUUGGUUAUAUGGCUACAUGUGGUAUAUCAUUGCUAGUUUGUAUACUAUGUUCAUGCAUUGGUUAGCCUUUAAUUGUUAGAUAUACAUGAUAGUAGUUUGUUGGUCUCAUACAUUCUUGUAUUGAGUAAAUUGUGCUUUAUCAAUACGAUGCCAUAUUAUUGUGAUUGCAUAAUUAGGUUGUAUAGCAUGUGCAUAGCAAUUCAGGUACUAGAUCAUGCCUAAGUUGUCUAGCUAUCUAUGUACUUGCAAGUGUAUGGCGUACUAGAUGGGAAAUGCAUGUCAUCUUGUUAUUCAUGCUUUUAUAACACAUGUUGAUUUGGUUGAUGAGAUGAUCUAGUUGUAUACUUUUGUACGUGCUUAGUAUGCUUCCAUGUUCUCAUUUAUCAUAACUAGCAUGGUAGUGUUGUAUGCUAACAUCGUGCUUGAUUUUUAGGUCACUUGUUAUCAACUAGGUUAUCUCAUAGUUACACGUUGCAUUUUAUUAGUAGCAUAAUUUGGUAUCUCGUGUCAUGAUCAUCUAUGCUUAGCAUCAUAUCUGGUUUAGAUUACUGUUGCAUUUGUGGUAUGCCUAAGUCUAAACAUCAAGUCAUGCUAGUUAUCUUUCAUGUGUUAUUAUAUUUCAUGUGUUAUAGUUGUACUUGUAUUGCUCAUAUAUGCUUGACUUGUUUGAUGUUAGUGUUAUGAGUGUUUGGCACAUGUUGCAUUAGCUCAUCACAUGAUUAGGAUAGUUUACCUUUCAAUAGUUGAGUUGUAUCUUUCUCAUAUGCUUAGUGCACAUUGUUGCUUUGUUGUUAAUCAUGUUGUGGUAAUCUUUUUGGUAGAGGUCAUUUGGAUAUUAGUUGUUUCCUUUAUUAUAAAGAGUGUCCUAGUUUAAGUGUCUUCUCAUGAUCACUCAUAUGUUUAAUGCUUGUGUUAUUAGAUAAGACCUCUUCACGAUUUUGUACUCACAUGCCUUGUAUGAUGUGUCUAGUUAUUUAAUUUUCCAAUUAGUUUUAUGAUAGCAUUGGUUUGUCUUUUUUCAUAGAAAUGCUUGCUAAUAGUUGUUAUGAUUGGUGUUUAGUCUUUGCCUAUUGUUAACCAUUAUAAAUAUUUGGAUACAUCCAAAUAUUUACUUGUGGUUGAUUAUUAAUCUUAAUCAUAUCAUGCCUAGAUAGUAGUUCACUCUUUUGUUCCAUGUCUUGUAUAGUUUCUUGUUAAUUGUUUGACAAAUGACUUGGUUUGUUAUAAUAGAGUUGAUCCUAUUUUAUAUUAAUAAUGUUAUAGGGUUAGACCUAGGUCAAUUCGAUUCAUGUUGUUGAGUGAUUUUUGAUUGCUUAACUAGUAUGGUUUGUAAUGUUUGUUCGUUUGUCUUACGGAACUAUUGCCUUUUGAAUUAUUAUAUAGUUGAUGUAUAUGUUUGACUACUAUUGACCAUUAUAAGUAUUUAGAUUCUAUCUAAAUAUCUAUUUGUGGUUAACUAUUACCUUCAUCAUGUCAUGUUGUAAAUUGUGUGGUUAAAUGCAUAGGAUGGUUCCUUUUCAUGUGUGUUGAUGCCAUUCUGUUUGUUAGAUAGUAGUUUCCUAUAUAGUUUGUCGAGAUGUGUAGUGGGCAAUACUAGUGUUUAAUUGCAUAUUCGUAUUGGAAUGUUAGUCUUGAUCGCCAAGUAUUUCUUAGUUGUGUCAACCUCAACCAUGUCACUUCAAUGAAUCCUCUCUCUUACAUCCAAUCGUGCUACCUCAUUUUGGAGUCUCCAUCUUGAUCAAUAUCUUGCUAUCCACCCACUCUUAAAUUGUUUUGAAUGUUAUUUGGAUUUGUUAUUGCUUUGGUAUUUAUUUGUUUGUCUUUUGCUAUCAUUACGACGAGUAGGGAGUGACGACGGUGUUGGACAUGGACAGAAACAGGUUACCGAAGGACUCAACAAUGAAGGCAUGCCUCCUUCUUUGAUCAUAUUUAUCCUAUGUUUACAAAAUUGCAUUGUGUUUUAUGGUUACUAUAUGCAUGCUAUUUUUUAAUUCUUGUAGCUAGCGUGUCGAUUGACACAUUACCUUGAUCCGCUUGUCGCCUAUUCAUUUGACACCUGAGUAGAAUUAUAGUAUUCCGGUAGAGUAGAAAUGCUUAGCCAUGCUUAUCCUAUAGGUUCUUUGUUGAAUGACCUCUAAGUCAUUGACAGUUGAAACGUAUUGCUGAGCUAGGCCAGUUGGCCCUUGUUGAUCUCCUCUACUCUCUUCUACUCUGGGUGAAACUUACCAUUUAAAUAUUGGUGCGGGCGACAGCUGAAUCAAGGAUUGAAGGAGCGAUUGGCUACCCUUCACGAUUUGAAGGGGGCAAUCAGACGUUCGUGCCGCAUGAGGCCUAAUAAGUCUUGGAUUUGAAGAUUGUGAUAAUAGUACAACCACAUGCUAUAUGGGCACUGGCUUGGUUAAUUAGUUAGUUCACUCUUAUUGUCGUCAUCACCGUACCGCAGAUGGGAUAGCUGCCUUGCGAGGAGUAUCCUCGGCACAAAAGGGGGGCCCGGACUGUGAACUGCGGUUACUUCCAUGUUGAAACCUAGUGGGCUUGGCACAGUAAGUUUGGUCUAAUGAAAGAUCUCGUCACAAUCUCUCUGCCGGUAUACCAAAUGGUGUACUAUGCUAGUGACGGCUAAUGGCAACAAGUCGGGAUUGUGUCGUGUGGGUAAAGUGUACAACCUCUGCAGAGUGUAAAACUAUUCGAAUAGCCGUGUCUACGGUCAUGGGCAACACAUGAAUCUUUCUUGACGUACGGGACCUGUCUUACUUAUUCCCUCUUUGCCCCUAUUCUUGAAACCUAUGAAGGACAUGAGUUGAUCGAGGAUCCUCACUUGAUGAAAGUUAUUCUGGAGAUAAAACAUGUUUUUCUUCUAAAACUUCUUUUAUCCAACUCAUUUAUUUGUCAAACAAAAUUAGCUUUACGCAAAUGAGCCAUAUAGCCUUCCUUUGAAGCCACAUGUAGCUAUUAGGUCCUUCCCCGUGGGGGGCAUGUUGAGUACGAAAUGUACUCAUGGCAAUACUUUUGUUGAACAACAGAGUUCCAUGAAGACGAAGGUGAUGACUAUGACAACUAUAGUGAUCUGUCGGAGUGAGGUCAUGUGGACUACAUCGACUGCCUGUGGCUGAGAUGGAGUCGCUACGCAUUGUACUUUCCGCUGUUUUCUGAUUGUAAUAAAUGUUACGAGACAUUUCACUAGGUAUGUAUUGUGACAAAUAUACUACUUGUAAUACUUCUAUGUAUUGUGCAAUGAUAUCAUUUCGCUGUGUUGUCAACAAUGAUCCCGGGGUUGACGAAUAUACACAGGAGGGCCUGGCACUACUAGGAAACGGCCUACUAAUGGCGCACCGGUUUUUUCUACUAAUGGCGCACUACCGGUGCGCCAUUAGUAGCACGCCAUUAGAAUUUUUUACUAAUGGCGCACCACUGGUGCGUAUACUAAUGGCGCACCUGCCAGUGCGCCAUUAGUAUGUAACACCAUGCGCCAUUAGUAUGCCUCCCGGGGGGCCAUAUGUAACCAUGUGCUUUGUCACACUAAUGGCGCACUCUGCCACGAUGCGCCAUUAGUAUCCUUUGGCAUACUAAUAGCGCACUCGGCCUUGAUGCGCCAUUAGUAUGAAUAUUUGUUUUUUUUUGCUUUUCUGAUUUUUGCACAGGUUACAAAAUAUGUUAUUGGACAGAAUAUAGACAGCAGCACACAGCAACAUCAGAUUCAUCGAAUACAAUAGAAGAUUAGUCUCUGAAUACAAUUCGUCAUAUUAGUCUCUGAAUUCAAAAGACCGAACAAAGAUAAAACAUUACAAGUCUCAAGACUGCGAGUAUCGAGUUUGUCUUCACAUUACAAGUCGAUAUCGAUCAUCUAAACUACCAUCACAUAAAAGAGAGUUGUGGUCAUCACGAUGAGCAUCAUCGCGAUCAAACUGGUCCUCAUCCGGUUCCUCCAACACUCCCUCCUCUCUCCCGCUAGAUAGCGGGCAUAUCUAGAUUCGGCCUCCGCCCUAGUGGUGUACCCUUUGUAACUGUUACCGCUGAAACGGUGAACCUGUCUCCGACACUCCUCCCAGUCGUCGUAGACUCCGGGAACCUUACCCUUGUACACGACAUACGACGGCAUCUCUAUGCACAAGCCAAACAACAGACAAUACAUAAGCAAUAUGUAAGUAUGCAACAAAAGGAUCGAAAGAGAAAAGCAAGACAUUAAUAGCACGAUUCAUGGUCCUACUAAUAAAUAGCAUCGAUUACAUCUAAGUUGAACGACUGUCCAAACCAAAGAGACAUACGAAUUCAUCAAAGUUUAAUUACAACAUGAGCUAAUCAAUGUUUCAGAACUACACAUAACUACUUUCGACUCGACUCAUCGGACAGGAGCGUGGAUGAAGCCGCCGUCUGUCGUGAUGGUCAUGAAAUCGCGGUCGUUGUCACCCUGCAUUUGUAGUGUUUCAUCUAUCUCACUGUUGGACGGUUGAUAUCUGACGAAGAACUGCCCCGAGGUAUGAAGGACAUCUUGAUGGAUGAUGUCCGCAAACUCCGACUGGAUGCGAAAGAAUUCUUGUCCGAGGUCCGCGUCCUGGACUGCUGACAACCUCGCGGCCCAAUCUUUGAGAUUAUCUGGUAGCAGAAGUUGAUGAUGGUCCCUUACGAUCGCCCGCAUGUGAUGGAGGGCGUAGUAGGCAUCCUUCUGACCGCCAGGCGGCUGCUUGACACAGCAGAACUUCGUAUUGUGUGAGAACAUGUGCUUGCCGUACUUACGAACUGCCCUGGUGAAGGUGCCUCCAGAUUUGGCGUAGCCGGGGAGAACAUCAUCAAGAACUUUCUUGACAUUUGUGUAGUCUAUCUUGGAGUUACGGUUCGGGUCGAAAUACGUGGCCAUGGAAUAUUUCGGGCUUAAGAGGAUGAGUGUGCAAUAUGUGUCACUGCACAGAACACGGAAUGUUAGAAAAAAAAGAACGAUCAAAAUCUAAGAAAUCAUAUGUUACAGGGCGGUUAAGGGAUGACUUACUCGGGAAAGUAAGCCACAAGGAAGUUAUCCUUAUCUGGGUUUGCCAGAAUGACGCCUUCAAGGUGUGAACUCGCAACUUGGCGGUCCCCAACGCUGUUCAAGUGCUUGGCACGCAUGUAGAAGGGGUCGACUAUCACGAUGUCCGGGGUCUUGUCUCUAAUGAUCCGCAUCUCCAUACUCAGCGAAAUAGCCGAACAAAGGUGUAGUGCAGCGGAUGAAGGUUAAACAUAGCAAAGGUGUCAUCAAACCGCAGGAUGAUCGUACCCACGAUGUCGCCAUCUGCAAAGCCCUUGCCCUCUGGCACCUUGGCCACGAAAACCGGGUAUGCUACAUCAUUCUCUCUCAGACGCCGCUUCUCCAAAGAAAGAACACUGUCGUGCAGACUCCGCAUAGCACCGGUUGCAGCAUUCAGCAUAUUUGGCGGUAGCAUCGCCCUACCCACCACAUGCACCCUCCUCGAGAUAUCCUUAGGUGAAGGUGGCCCGUCCUGAGUACGGAUCGAACUCGGUGCCGGUUGGCUCGCACCAGCGCCCUUGUUAGUCUUUCGUUUCCGUCCCUUCUUCUUGAUCUCCUGUAAUGGGACCGAGUUCUGCUCACAGACCGCUUUCUUGAGCGUGUUGGGGCUGAUGAUAUUUCGCACCUCAGCUAUCAGAGGCUCGGUGAAGGCGGGAGCUGGAGGCGUUUCCAGAGAACUGAACGGCAGACGACGCCUAUUGCAAUUGGAUUUUUCCGCCGUACCAGCUAGAUUGCGAUCGUCUUGGUUGGGUUCUUGAGAAAGAGGCCCGCAGAACUCGUCAGCGUACCCAUGUUCGGCAAAGUACUUAUCGACUUUGGUAAAUGUACCGUCAUCGUUGUCGUCGUCGUCCGGAUCCUGUGCCAUAGGGCUGUCCGGAUCCUGUGCCAUAGGUAUGUCCGACAUAGGGAUGUCCGGCAGGUCCGGUAGCGUUGCGGCGUUCUUGCCAUGGCUUGGCGCCGGCACGACUGGCAGUCUUGUCUGUGGCGUGGUGUCCCCCGCCCCCAAACGAAUCUGGCUCUUCGGCCAAAGCAGCGGCCAGUUUACGCAGGCGCUGAGGGUCAUCUCAUCUUCUUCGUCGGCCCCAGCAGGUCGAACCAGAGGUAACAGCUCGUCGCAGCCUGGCAGCACCCGAACCACUUCAACCCUAUACACUGUGGGUGGCAUCGGAUUAUCGUGGAACAUGCGGUUGCCCGGUUGAACGAUUCUGCCCUUGGCGACAUCGACCAACUCGGCGCCCACGAAGUGCAGAAGAGUGCAAGGAACGUCGGCGGUGCCCUGCGAAAACAUGUACAGGGCGUCAGGGAUGCCUAGUUAAAGGCAAGGAGAUGAAGUCAUCGGCCGAGAGGCUUAGUUACCGUGAUGCCGUCGAGCUCGGCUAAUGUCGAGGGAUCGCUGACAGCGGGCAUGCAACUGACGGAGGGGGAGCUUGCUGGCGAGGUGCCGGCCGGCGUACACCCGGGUGCAUUAAGCUCCAAUGCCCGUGCCGGCACCGGAGACACGAAUACCGCCUCUACCGGAGACACCAAUGGCGCCGCCGCCGAAGACACCAAUGGCGCCGCCGGAGACACCAAUGGCGCCACCUGCGCGUUGUGUGAGUUGCUGGCCGUGAAGCUGGGAACCGGGGGAGGCCCCUGUUGGCCGCCCGCAAUCCACGUCAUCAGCCCAUGAAUCAACGUAGGCACCAUGGCGUUGAGCUUCGUUCCCAGUUGUUGUUCCACUUGCUCUUGGACAAGCUCCGGAAUCCGCGCCACUUGUGCCUUGAGUGCUUCAACCUCGCGCGUCUGGCUUUCAGAGCUGGCCUUUUUCUCCUUCCGCACACCAGCGGUAUAGUAUGACCCUCAUUUUGUGGACAAGCCUUUGCCGGCCACACGACCAGCUGACGUCAGCUUAGUGAGCUUAUCCUUGCUUUUCAUUAUGUUCAACGCCCUAUUUAAAGGGCUGUCGAAAGGGGAGCUCUAAGACGACCCCGCGCUACUGCUUUCAGUUUUCUGCGAAAGGAACGUGAACCAUUUAGAAAUAUUGGGGAUUAGUUAGAGUGCAACCAUAUGGAGCUAAUUACACGGGGUUGUAUUCCUUACCAGAACAAGCUCAAGCGCCCUAGUCUUCGGAUCCGUGGUAAGCUCCUUUGUUAUCGGGUCCUCCUUGUACCGGGCCCUGACAUAGUUCCUGGUCUGCUUGUUACCGCUGUAUUUCUCGAAGCGGGGCGGUAGGCCUUGCUCGGCACGCUCCGUGUCCUCCUUGUCCCAUAUAGGCUCCGCCACUCUGUAACCGCCGGGACCAAGUUUGUGUUCCCCUAAGUUCAACUCCCGCAUUCCUUUUCCCCACUGACUUGAUUCGGUGGUUCCAGUGCUCUCGCACUUUAUCUUGAACUCCUUGUAGUCAUCUUCGCUCAUCAAAGGAUAUUUCGCCUUGAUCUUCUCAUAACUAUCACCUUUAUCAAUCAUUCUCUUCACCGCGCUUCUCCAAGUAGACAGGGCCGUGCUCAUCUUCGCGAGGGCGGCACUGUUCACUUUAUUCCCUGAGAGGCGUGUGUUUUCAAAUUUGGCGAGGAACUUGUAUCGUUCGUGCAGCUUCGUGAAGAGGAGGCUGCGCAAAUUCCCUCGGUCCUUAUGCCUAAGGUUCUCGGUGUUGAUCGAGACGGUGCUCCGGAGAAUGCACCCGAGCUGAAUUGAGUACCCCUUGACUAUAUGUUUGGGCUCCGUUGGAUUCCUGUCGGAGUCCACUUGAGUGAAUUCCUCCUUGAGGGUGCGGAGCGCAUUCGGGCACCGGUCCUUCCUUUGCUUCUUCGGUUGGCUGCCAUCUGUGUGUGCGCCGCCAUCAUCAGUGGUGGCAUCCUCGGCGGCACCAUCAGUGGUGUCAUCCCCGACGCCACUAGGGGUUGUGUAAUCAGGAUCGGUGUCUUCCGCGGCGUCCUCAUAGCGGUGAGGUUGUUCCUCCAUCUCCUGUGACAGCUCCCAGAAUUGCUUGCCGCCCGAACCGCCGGCCUCAUCGUUGUUGGCCAUGUUUCGCUUUAAAUAGGAAAACAAUUUGGUCAAAAAGUUGGUUAUUGUCAAGGAACAAGAUCAUGGUCUCAUCAUUUAGGGUUUGUCGACACCGAGGCAUCCUAAAAGCUAAGCUUUUAUCAUUUAGGGUUUGUCGACGCCGAGGCACCCUAAAAGCCUAAGCCGAGGCACCCUAGGUUGGGCCUAAUCACUUGGCACUAAUCACUUGGCCCUAUUGCCACCUAUGGUUUAAUGCAGCAAGAAUGGCGGGGCAUUUGAUCCUACUUAACUAAGUACUAAGAUACCCCGGUCCAUGCAUUAGUCGCAAGUACCCCAUAUGUCCUAUUUUUAGCAAAGUCAUGCUAAAAUUUCAGCAUGACCUUUGCUAAAAAUAGGACAUAUGGAGUACCCGAAUUUUCCGGAACGGAAGUUAAUCAACAUUCCGGCAAAAUUAAGGGCCUCUCAGGGUACCUGCAAAUUCAUCACGACACGAUGGUCGGAGACAAAACCCAGCAAACUUGCAAGAUGAUCAUCAUCUUUGCAAGAUAGUAGCUCAAGUUUUUGACAGUAGCCUCUGAAGAAAACAACAUUGCAACAUUCAAGUUCACAGGAGAAAAAAAUCAUCCACAUUCACCAACCCACAUGAUGUUAAAACCCACAUGAGCUGUAAACAGACUUAAAAACCCACAUGAUGUUAUAACUGUAUACACUAAACAUGAUGAUACCAAAUGGGAAGGAAAAUUGUAUCACUCUAGAUUAGUGUAGCCACUAUCUAACAAAACCAGAAUGUUAACAAAAUUACACCAUGAUGAUACCAAAUUCUUGUAGCAGUACAAUGAGUUCACAGGAUAAAAAAAUCAUCCACAUUCGCCAACCCAAACAGGUGGAGAUACAACAAACCAGAACCUCCCAGGUUUCUGCCAUUUUAUUUUUCCCACUGUAUAUCUUUUUUGAUUCAUGUCAUGGUACUUGCUGUCAAACCAAGUAUUUUCUUUCUACAUAAUCUGGGAAGUUUCCUUCUUACUGUCUCACUAUCUUAUUGUCUCACUACAAAAAACUAGUAUGCUUAGUUGAGACUAGUAUGCUUAGUUGCAUUGUGACAGACAAAAACUACAAAUAUUUGUGUUUUUAGUUGAGCAAUACAACGACAAUGUGAUAGGCAAGUUUCAGCUGGCAAAGUGUCAUGAUUCAGACAACAGAGCAGCUAAGCAUAGCAAGUGGAUAGUUUAGUCAGUAUACUAGUACUCUUUAGAAAGCAUGAGACAUAUAUUACCUGGAGGAGACUUCGUCGGAGAGUUGCCUGUGCAUUGAAAAUACAACGAGAUCAGCAAAGGAUAGUAAGAUAUAUACUGAAAUUAUCAUAACAAAAUGCCAGCUACUGCCAUGGUCAAAGAAUAGAUUAUGAUAGCUGGACAAGUACAGGUCAAACUAGAUAAUUUUCAGAACCGGUUUAACCACCGCAGGAUAAAAUAAUGCAUCCAAGACUGUGCUUAGACUAAUAUCCUCAUAGCAUAAUCUGACAUCAAGCAAAUAUUAUAAGAACAGUGAAAAUGUAUGUUCACUGCAAAUGAAUGUGGACCAAAUGAAUAUGGACCAAGUAUCCUCUAAAAUGCAUCUAAAUGCAAGCUCAGAGAUUUAAACAUUUGGAAAACCCUAGCUACUUAAUUCUCCAACCACCUUUCCUUGUCCAAACUUCUCCAACCCCCAACCCUAGAACACAUCAGAAGAAAAUAAAGAGGGGGAAGAGGGGGAAGCGGCUCGGGUGCUCACUUGGGAGGUCGAGGGCGACUCGGGGCAGCCGGAGCUAGUCGAGGCGGCGCGAAUUCGGCCUCGAGCAGUGGCGCUCCUCCUGGGCAGGCCGCACGGUCGAGGGAGUCGAGCGGUGGCAGUCCUCUUGGGCGUCCGAGCUCGUCCGGGUCCUCGUAGUCGAAGAGGAAGACGACGGUGGUCCUCCUGGGCAGGUCGCGCGGUGUUGGACGUCGAGCAUGUCGAGGGCGCAGGUGGGGCCACGGGGGGAGGGGGCGCUUGGGCCGGAGGACGUCAAGGGAGGCGGCGCUCGGCUUGGGGACGGCGAGGGAGGCGGCGCUGGGCUCGGGGACAGCGAAGAAGGCGAGGGGGGCGGCGAGGGGGACGGCGAACACGGGGGGCAGCGGGUAAGAUCGAUGAGGUAGGGGAGAGAUUAGAGAGAUUGGGGAUUUAGUGUGGGGGGAAGCUUUCUAAUGGCGCACCACCCCCUCGUGCGCCAUAAGUACGGCUAUUCUAAUGGCACACCACCCCUCGGUGCGCCAUUAUAAUUUUGUUUUAAUCUAGCCCACUAGCCCUAUCUACAACCUAGCCCUAUCUACAACAGAACCCACCCACUAGCCCGACUGGUCAGCACGCAGCACACACACCAGGAGGUCCUGGGUUCGAUUCCCAGGCUCCCCAAUAUUUUUUUAUGCAUUUUAAAUGCUGCUUUUUAUAUUUAUUUGUGUUUAAAUAUGUCCUCCUGGAAUCGAGAUCGAGAUGGAGGGGGAUCGAGAUCAAGUGUCCUCAUGAUUUCAAAAAGUGCCCAUGAAAUUUAAAAAUAUUCAUGAUAUCAAAAAGUGCCCAUGAAAUACAAUCGAGAAAUGAAGACUACGAUUUAAUACAAUCGAUCUUAGCUAGCUAUCUGUUCACAAUCUUCUUGCCCUUCUUUUUUGCAAAUGGAGUUCUUCUGUGGAACGGACGUCCUUUAGGUAGGGUGGUCGAUCCUUCCGUAGUAUCUGUCCUUGUCCUUACUGGUGUAGGAUUCCAUUGUUACCCCGGAGUUCUGAUAACCAUCGCUCUUCAUGUCCUUGUCCUCGGUGUAGAAUGUGUAGCCAUUGAUAUCGUACGCCUCAUAGGUCAUCAGGUUGUGCUCGGCGCCCUGUGACAAGGCGAAUAUGAGUUGUUCUUCCGCGGAAGAAUCCUCAUGUAAAGGGUACGACAGAAGCUUCUGCUUGAACCAACGCGUGAAACAUGAGUUGUGCUCUUUCAGUAUAUCUCCGUCCGUCCUCUGUUGGCCUCGGUCAUUGUACGUAUUCUCAAUAAAGGUUUUGUGCUCUACCACCCAAGGAUCGACCACGUCUAUGUGUUGUAGCACGACUAGGUUUGCUCUUUCAAAGUCGGCGAGUCGACCCUCGAAGUCGACAUGCAUUUCGCAGCGACCCUCACGGUGACCCCAUCCAGUGAGCCUGCCGAGGUGCCUGUUGACGGGCAGACCAACGGGGUUCUCGAUGCCUAGAUAAUUCGUGCAGUAGGAGAUGCACUCUUCGGUCAGAAAGCCCAUGGCUAUACUUCCCUCUGGACGUGACAUGUUCCGAACGUAUCCAUUGAUGACACCAUUCAUCCUUUCGAACGGCAUCAUGCUGUGCAGGAACGUCGCCCCGAGUUGGAUGAUAUCCUCCACGAUAUGGACCAGCAGAUGCACCAUAACAUCGAAGAAUGCGGGCGGGAAGUACAUCUCAAGCUCGCAUAGUAUCACCACGAUCUCUUCCUGUAGCCUUCUGAGUUGCCUCACGCCAAUCGACUUCCGAGAGAUGACGUCGAAAAAGUUGCAUAGGCCAAAUAGCGUUUCAUGGACGUGCGCGUCCAUGAUCCCACGGAUUGCAACUGGAAGUAUCUGCAUCAUCAGCACGUGACAGUCGUGAGACUUCAUCCCGCUGAACUUCUGCUUCGCUGGGUCUAGGUAUCUGCUUAUCUUCCCUGCGUAACCGUAAGGAAGUUUUACUCCUAGGAGGCAGGUGAAAAACUGCUCGAUCUCCUCCUGACUUAGAGUGAAGCACGCGGGAGGGUAGUCAUUUCCGGUCUUCUUGGCCUUUUUGCCUUUGCGACGACUUUCUGUGUCCUGCUUCGCCUCAUCAUCAUCAUCAUCAUUAGCGUGAAGCUCCUGCCUGAUGCCCAUUGAUUUCAAGUCUGCCCUUGCUUUCGGCCCAUCUUUGGUCCUCUUUGGCUUGUUGAGCAGGGUACCAAGCAGACUCUCGCACACGUUCUUCGUGAUAUGCAUGACAUCAAGGCUGUGAGGCACACGGUGGAUCUUCCAGUACGGCAAGUCCCAGAAAACAGACCUUGUUUUCCAUACCUUCAGCAGCGGCUCUGGCGCCUUUUGCUUCUUUCCUGGCUCUGGCGCCUUUUGCUUCUUUCUCGGCAGUGGGCAGUCUUUCCAAUUUUUCAACAGCUCGUCUAUUUCCUCGCCGCUCCUCGUACACGGGCGUUUUCGGGGUUUGGUUUCACCAUCGAACAGAUCCUUGCGUUUCCUCCACGGGUCAUCGUCGCGAAGCCACCUUCGAUGUCCCAUGAACACGGUUUUCAAAGACCCGGGAUCUCUAUCUAGCUGGCGAUACGUUGUGUCAUCCAUGCACCUUACGCAUCCAGAAAAUCCGUGGACUACCUGCCCCGCGAGAUAUCCGUAACCAAUAUAGUCGUGCACCAUCGUGAGAAGUGCGGCUCUCAUAGGGAAAUAUUCUUUCUCUGCGGCGUCCCACGUAUUGGCCGGCGUUUUCCACAGCGUGUCUAGCUCCUCCUUCAGCAGCCCCAGAUACAGAUUGAUGUCGUUCCCUGGUUGUUUCGGCCCUUCAAUUAGCAUACUCAUGUGAAUGUACUUCCUCUUCAUGCACAACCAGGGGGGAAGGUUGUACAUCCACACAAACACAGGCCAGGUGCUAUUUGUGCUUCUCUGCCUGCCAAACGGAUUGACUCCAUCGGUGCUCGCGCCCAGCACGAUGUUCCUUGGAUCCUUCCCAAAUUCUGGGUAUUCAAAGUUCAACGCUUGCCACUGGCUCGCAUCCUUAGGGUGACUCAGCAUCUUGUCUUUUUUAUUUAUCUCCGGAUCAUUUCCAUCAUCUUCCCGCUUCUUCUCCUCCCUAUCCGCGUGCCAACGUAGGAGCUUUGCUACCUUAGGGUCCGCGAAAUACCGCUGCAGACGAGGAGUGAUCGGAAAGUACCACACCGAUUUUUGAGGAGCUUUCUCCCUCUUCUUGUAUCGAGUGACACCGCACACCGGACAUAUGGUAGACUCCGCGUGCUCGUCCCGAUAAAUGAUGCAAUUGUUCAUGCACACAUGGUAUCUCACGUGUGGUAAAUCCAAAGGACACACGAUUUUCUUCGCCUCCUCGAAACUGGUCGGGCACUUGUUCCCCUUGGGAAGACGUUCGUGCCAGAAUGACAUGUUCUCGUCGAAGCAUGCAUCGGUCAUUUUGUGUUUUACCUUCAUCUCCAGAGCCAUGAGCGUUACUUUCAGGCGGGUAUCCUCGGGCCUGCAUCCUUCAUACAAUGGAGUAACCGCGUCUAUCUCCAGUUGAUCCAGUUUGGCUUUCUCUCGGGUGGCAGCUCUUGCGUUAUCCGUCUGCUUGCGAAGCAGCUCUUGAAUAUGAGGGUCCUGCACCGAGCCUCCAUCGUCGUCUGCUCCGGCAUCUUCAUCUUCAUGAUCAUGCCCUUCGUCUUGAUCUUCCUCAUCAUCAUGUACGACAUCUUCUACAUGAUGAUUGUGUACAUCAUCACCGUCGUGAUCAUGUCCUGGAGAUUCUUCGUCUUCUCGCCCGCCCUCGCCGCGGUGGUUGUCUUGUUGCCCUUCCUCAUUUCUUGCCCGGCCUCCAUGGACGACUUCAUAGUCAUCUUCAUCACCUUGCCACCAAUAGCCAUCCAUGAAACCACGCAAGAGCAGGUGGUCCCACACCUGCUCGGAAUCCGGGUCCGCAAUAAGGCUCUUCAGCUUGCAUCUUCGACACGGACAUCUUAUCUCCGUCUCGUUCUUUUGAAGCAUCUCGGCCUUCGCGGAGCUCAAAAACCUAUUCAUGAUGCCUUUGGUCAUCGUGCGGACCAUGGUCGCCUGCGGGGUAGAGCAAAACGAUAUUUUAGAACCAAGAAAAAAUUUGGCAUGACCUUCCCUAAAAAUAGGACAAAAAAGAAUGCAUAGUGCCAAAAUUCUCGCCGAAACGGAAAUGAAUCAACAUUUCAGCAAAAUAUUGGUAAACACAAACAUAUAUUCAACACCACAAACACAAGCAACACCACAAACAUACAUAGAUCUAGCUAGACCACAAAAAGUGCAUGUGCACGUUGUUGGAGCGAGCUAGGGAGAAAAAAAGUAGAUCUACAUCAUGAAGAUAGCUUUCCCCUUACUUACCUAUCAAAAAAAGGUGAUUUCACCACUUAAUUUUGAUGAAUCUAUGGUGGAAAUGAGGUGAGGAGGAGGAGGCAGCCGAGACAAGCUUGGAGGAGGAGGUGGAGAGAAUGAAGUGGGGAAAGUGAGUGGUAGGUGGGCUGUCCAAAAUAUCUUGUUCGUCCCAGGUUACUAAUGGCGCACCACCACAGAAUGCGCCAUUAGUAACCCUGGUUACUAAUGGCGCACCAGCAGGUGGUGCGCCAUUAGUACUUUUUGCAGAAAAGUAAAAAAACAUAUGUAUACCAAUGGCGCACUGUGGAAAAGUGCGCCAUUACUAGUUUAAACUAGUAAUGGCGCACUUUGGUACAGUGCGCCAUUAGUAGGUUUGCAAAAAAGUAAAAAAUAUAUAUAUACUAAUGGCGCACUGUCUUGGUCGUGCGCCAUUACUAGUUCUAACUAGUAAUGUGCACUUUGCCGUCCAUGCGUCAUUAGUUUGUAUGGAAAAAUGGAAAAAAAAUAAAUAGUAGUGGCGCACCGUGAGCACGGUGCGCCAUUAGUGUCUUCCACACUAAUGGCGCACGAGCAACCGGUGCGCCAUUAGUAUAUAGUAGUGGCACACUACUUACGUGGUGCGCCAUUAGAAUCAGUCCUAUCUAUAGCCCUUUUCCUAGUAGUGUGGAAGUUAAUUCCGGGUUCUCACAGAAGUGGUAUCAGAGCCGACGUCGACCUAGUCGCGUGGCCUUAGUUAGAAAUAGAAAGCCUUAGGGACUAUUGUUAUAAGAAAAACUAUUUUGAAAAGGAUCAUUCUCGUACUCUUCUCCUUCACUAUUGCUAUUGUAAUCUCAUCUUAUUCAAUUGAAUUUAAACUCUACUUCCCUACCAUCUUCUUUGUAGUAUGUGAAACCCUUUUCCCCGCCCUUGGUGUUGACAAGUCAAAAGCUUCACACGGUGUGCCAAGAAUUUCAAGAUAACUUCGACCCCUGAAGCUUUGAGUAGCAACAUUUUUCCAAGAGAAGACACUUUGAGACCUCAAGAAGGCAAUAACCAUCGAUCAUGCUCCAAUCGUCAACGUCGAAGAUUUGCCCCAAGAUUUAUUGUGACCAGUCAUAUAGGAUUAGGUUGGUUAACACCUUUGUAGUGAUAGAACUCCUAGCUAGUAGACGCAAAAAUAUUUUUGUGCGAGUAUUGUCUGCAUAUAUUUCUUCUGGCCUUUUCCUAUGCAGUCAUACUAAAACCCUAUUUGCCAAAAUGAGUUGCCUUUGAGUUCUAUUUGGAUAUCUUCAUGGCUAUCUCAGUUAUCUUUUGUUUAGCUUAUGUGGUAUCUCUGCCUUUUGUAGGAUUCUUUUACUCAUCUUUAUGCUUUUCUCUCUUCUCUAUAAACCUUGGAAGACACUUUGAGAGCAAGGAAGCCACAACAACCGC